Molecule: small RNA, 32 nt
Filed under: Arabidopsis thaliana (thale cress)
Lineage: Eukaryota; Viridiplantae; Streptophyta; Magnoliopsida; Brassicales; Brassicaceae
Description: ATSL288240
Source: RNAcentral
UUGACAGAAGAGAGAGAGCACCAUCAAGAUCU